GCCUGAUCCAGCAAUGCCGCGUGUGUGAAGAAGGCCUUCGGGUUGUAAAGCACUUUUGUCCGGAAAGAAAUCCUUGGUUCUAAUACAGCCGGGGGAUGACGGUACCGGAAGAAUAAGCACCGGCUAACUACGUGCCAGCAGCCGCGGUAAUACGUAGGGUGCGAGCGUUAAUCGGAAUUACUGGGCGUAAAGCGUGCGCAGGCGGUUUGCUAAGACCGAUGUGAAAUCCCCGGGCUCAACCUGGGAACUGCAUUGGUGACUGGCAGGCUAGAGUAUGGCAGAGGGGGGUAAAAUUCCACGUGUAGCAGUGAAAUGCGUAGAGAUGUGGAGGAAUACCGAUGGCGAAGGCAGCCCCCUGGGCCAAUACUGACGCUCAUGCACGAAAGCGUGGGGAGCAAACAGGAUUAGAUACCCUGGUAGUCCACGCCCUAAACAAUGUCAACUAGUUGUU
This 451-nucleotide ribosomal RNA is filed under the name Burkholderia sp. RNAcentral describes it as "bacterial SSU rRNA". It matches the Rfam family "Bacterial small subunit ribosomal RNA", at positions 381 to 824 of the family's 1533-position model. The record is from RNAcentral. Lineage: Bacteria; Pseudomonadati; Pseudomonadota; Betaproteobacteria; Burkholderiales; Burkholderiaceae.